Molecule: ribosomal RNA, 406 nt
Filed under: uncultured bacterium
Lineage: Bacteria
Description: partial 16S ribosomal RNA
Rfam family: Bacterial small subunit ribosomal RNA
Source: RNAcentral
AUUGAACGCUGGCGGCAGGCCUAACACAUGCAAGUCGAACGGGUAGCGGACGGGUGAGUAGUGUCGGGGAAACUGCCUGAUGGAGGGGGAUAACUACUGGAAACGGUAGCUAAUACCGCAUACCCUCAGAUGUGCCCACAUGGGAUUAGCUAGUUGGUGGGGGAACGGCUCACCAAGGCGCCGAUCCCUAGCUGGUCUGAGAGGAUGACCAGCCACACUGGAACUGAGACACGGUCCAGACUCCUACGGGAGGCAGCAGUGGGGAAUAUUGCACAAGGGGCGCAAGCCUGAUGCAGCCAUGCCGCGUGUAUGAAGAAGGCCUUCGGGUUGUAAAGUACUUUCAGCGGGGAGGCGUUACCCGAAGAAGAAGCACCGGCUAACUCCGUGCCAGCCGCCGCGGUAAUAC